RNAcentral lists this ribosomal RNA (456 nucleotides) under uncultured bacterium. Its description in RNAcentral is "SSU rRNA". It matches the Rfam family "Bacterial small subunit ribosomal RNA", at positions 26 to 518 of the family's 1533-position model. The record is from RNAcentral.
AGAACGAACGCUGGCGGCAGGCCUAACACAUGCAAGUCGAACGCCGUAGCAAUACGGAGUGGCAGACGGGUGAGUAACGCGUGGGAACAUACCCUUCGGUUCGGAAUAACUCAGGGGAAACUUGAGCUAAUACCGGAUACGUCCGAGGUUUUAAUCGACCUUGGAGAAAGAUUUAUCGCCGGAGGAUUGGCCCGCGUCUGAUUAGCUUGUUGGUGAGGUAAUGGCUCACCAAGGCGACGAUCAGUAGCUGGUCUGAGAGGAUGAUCAGCCACAUUGGGACUGAGACACGGCCCAAACUCCUACGGGAGGCAGCAGUGGGGAAUAUUGGACAAUGGGCGAAAGCCUGAUCCAGCCAUGCCGCGUGAGUGAUGAAGCCUUAGGGUGUAAAGCUCUUUACCGGGAAGAUAAUGACGGUACCGGGAGAAUAAGCCCCGGCUAACUCGUGCCAGCAGCCGC